RNAcentral lists this ribosomal RNA (491 nucleotides) under uncultured soil bacterium. Its description in RNAcentral is "bacterial SSU rRNA". It matches the Rfam family "Bacterial small subunit ribosomal RNA", at positions 26 to 518 of the family's 1533-position model. The record is from RNAcentral.
AGGACGAACGCUGGCGGCGUGCUUAACACAUGCAAGUCGAGCGGUAAGGCCUUUCGGGGUACACGAGCGGCGAACGGGUGAGUAACACGUGGGUGAUCUGCCCUGCACUUCGGGAUAAGCCUGGGAAACUGGGUCUAAUACCGGAUAUGACCUCCUAUCGCAUGGUGGGUGGUGGAAAGAUUUAUCGGUGCAGGAUGGGCCCGCGGCCUAUCAGCUUGUUGGUGGGGUAAUGGCCUACCAAGGCGACGACGGGUAGCCGACCUGAGAGGGUGACCGGCCACACUGGGACUGAGACACGGCCCAGACUCCUACGGGAGGCAGCAGUGGGGAAUUUGGACAAUGGGGGAAACCCUGAUCCAGCCAUCCCGCGUGUGCGAUGAGGCCUCGGUUGUAAGCACUUUGGCAGGGAAGAAACGGCGUGCCUAAGUACGGACGUCACUGACGGUACCUGACAGAAUAAGACACCGACUAACUACGUGCCAGCAGCCGAC